GCGGAACGAGGUUAUCUGAAACAUCGAAGGAAAAAAAACGGCGUCGACCGGCGGACGGGUGAGUAAUGCCUAGGAAAUUGCCCUGAUGUGGGGGAUAACCAUUGGAAACGAUGGCUAAUACCGCAUGAUGCCUACGGGCCAAAGAGGGGGACCUUCGGGCCUCUCGCGUCAGGAUAUGCCUAGGUGGGAUUAGCUAGUUGGUGAGGUAAGGGCUCACCAAGGCGACGAUCCCUAGCUGGUCUGAGAGGAUGAUCAGCCACACUGGAACUGAGACACGGUCCAGACUCCUACGGGAGGCAGCAGUGGGGAAUAUUGCACAAUGGGCGCAAGCCUGAUGCAGCCAUGCCGCGUGUGUGAAGAAGGCCUUCGGGUUGUAAAGCACUUUCAGUCGUGAGGAAGGUGGUGUAGUUAAUAGCUGCAUUAUUUGACGUUAGCGACAGAAGAAGCACCGGCUAACUCCGUGCCAGCAGCCGCGGUAAUACGGAGGGUGCGAGCGUUAAUCGGAAUUACUGGGCGUAAAGCGCAUGCAGGUGGUUUGUUAAGUCAGAUGUGAAAGCCCGGGGCUCAACCUCGGAAUAGCAUUUGAAACUGGCAGACUAGAGUACUGUAGAGGGGGGUAGAAUUUCAGGUGUAGCGGUGAAAUGCGUAGAGAUCUGAAGGAAUACCGGUGGCGAAUGCGGCCCCAUGGACAGAUACUGACACUCAGAUGCGAAAGCGUGGGGAGCACACACGAUUAGAUACUCUGGUAGUCCACGCCGUAAACGAUGUCUACUUGGAGGUUGUGGCCUUGAUCUGUGGCAUUCUGAUCUGACGCGUUAAUAGACCGUCUGAGGAGUACCGUCGCGACUAUUCACAUCUCACAUGACUUGACAGCGGCCCGCACUAUUCGGCGGAGCAUGUGCGUAUAAUUCGAUGCACCUCCAGUAUCACUACGACUGCUGACAUGC
Molecule: ribosomal RNA, 947 nt
Filed under: Vibrio sp.
Lineage: Bacteria; Pseudomonadati; Pseudomonadota; Gammaproteobacteria; Vibrionales; Vibrionaceae
Description: bacterial SSU rRNA
Rfam family: Bacterial small subunit ribosomal RNA
Source: RNAcentral